GAUGAAGAACGCAGCGAAAUGCGAUAAGUAAUGUGAAUUGCAGAAUUCAGUGAAUCAUCGAAUCUUUGAACGCACCUUGCGCUCCUUGGUAUUCCGAGGAGCAUGCCUGUUUGAGUGUCAUUAAUUUCUCAACCUCACCAGCUUUUGCUGAGUGUAGGCUUGGAUGUGGGGGUUGCAGGUCCGCUAACGUGGUCUGCUCCUCUGAAAUGUAUUAGUGGGUUGGGCCCCUAAUCUAUUGGUGUGAUAAUUAUCUACGCCGUGGAUUUGGGUGGCUGGAUUAGACCCGCUUCUAACCGUCCUUCACCGGACAACUCUUGACAAUUUUGACCUCAAAUCAGGUAAGACUACCCGCUGAACUUAAGCAUAUCAAUAAGCGGAGGA
This 381-nucleotide unclassified non-coding RNA is filed under the name soil metagenome. RNAcentral's name for it is "partial contains 5.8S ribosomal RNA, internal transcribed spacer 2, and large subunit ribosomal RNA". The stretch from base 1 to 120 matches the Rfam family "5.8S ribosomal RNA", at positions 35 to 154 of the family's 154-position model. The record is from RNAcentral.